This 1217-nucleotide ribosomal RNA is filed under the name Mesostena angustata. Its description in RNAcentral is "SSU rRNA". It matches the Rfam family "Eukaryotic small subunit ribosomal RNA", at positions 32 to 1195 of the family's 1831-position model. The record is from RNAcentral. Lineage: Eukaryota; Metazoa; Arthropoda; Insecta; Coleoptera; Tenebrionidae.
UUGUCUCAAAGAUUAAGCCAUGCAUGUCUCAGUACAAGCCGAAUUAAGGUGAAACCGCGAAAGGCUCAUUAAAUCAGUUAUGGUUCCUUAGAUCGUACCCACAUUUACUUGGAUAACUGUGGUAAUUCUAGAGCUAAUACAUGCAAACAGAGCUCCGACCGGAGACGGAAGGAGCGCUUUUAUUAGAUCAAAACCAAUCGGUGGCGGUUCCCGUCAUCGUACAACUUGGUGACUCUGAAUAACUUUACGCUGAUCGCACGGUCUCGCACCGGCGACGCAUCUUUCAAAUGUCUGCCUUAUCAACUGUCGAUGGUAGGUUCUGCGCCUACCAUGGUUGUAACGGGUAACGGGGAAUCAGGGUUCGAUUCCGGAGAGGGAGCCUGAGAAACGGCUACCACAUCCAAGGAAGGCAGCAGGCGCGCAAAUUACCCACUCCCGGCACGGGGAGGUAGUGACGAAAAAUAACGAUACGGGACUCAUCCGAGGCCCCGUAAUCGGAAUGAGUACACUCUAAACCCUUUAACGAGGAUCAAUUGGAGGGCAAGUCUGGUGCCAGCAGCCGCGGUAAUUCCAGCUCCAAUAGCGUAUAUUAAAGUUGUUGCGGUUAAAAAGCUCGUAGUCGAAUCUGUGUCCCGCGCCGCCGGUUCAUCGUUCGCGGUGUUAACUGGCGUGCCGCGGGACGUCCUGCCGGUGGGCUUAGCUCGCGAGGGCGGCCCAACUCAAUCCCGCCGCGGUGCUCUUCAUUGAGUGUCGAGGUGGGCCGGCACGUUUACUUUGAACAAAUUAGAGUGCUUAAAGCAGGCUAAAACUUCGCCUGAAUACGUGUGCAUGGAAUAAUGGAAUAGGACCUCGGUUCUAUUUUGUUGGUUUUCGGAACCCCGAGGUAAUGAUUAAUAGGAACGGAUGGGGGCAUUCGUAUUGCGACGUUAGAGGUGAAAUUCUUGGAUCGUCGCAAGACGGACAGAAGCGAAAGCAUUUGCCAAAAACGCUUUCAUUGAUCAAGAACGAAAGUUAGAGGUUCGAAGGCGAUCAGAUACCGCCCUAGUUCUAACCAUAAACGAUGCCAGCUAGCGAUCCGCCGACGUUCCUCCGAUGACUCGGCGGGCAGCUUCCGGGAAACCAAAGCUUUUGGGUUCCGGGGGAAGUAUGGUUGCAAAGCUGAAACUUAAAGGAAUUGACGGAAGGGCACCACCAGGAGUGGAGCCUGCGGCUUAAUU